AGUUCGAUUAUGGCUCAGAUUGAACGCUGGCGGGAUGCUUUACACAUGCAAGUCGAACGGCAGCACGGACUUCGGUCUGGUGGCGAGUGGCUUGAACAGGUGAGUAAUGUAUCGGAACGUGCCUAGUAGCGGGGGGAUAACGCCCGAAAGCGUAGCUAAUACCACGCAUACGCCCUUCGGGGAAAGCGGGGGACCUUCGGGCCUCGCACUAUUAGAGCGGCCGAUAUCGGAUUAGCUAGUUGGUGGGAGUAACGGCUCACCAAGGCGCGAUCCGUAGCUGGUUUGAGAGGACGACCAGCCACACUGGGACUGAGACACGGCCCAGACUCCUACGGGAGGCAGCAGUGGGGAAUUUUGGACAAUGGGGAAACCCUGAUCCAGCCAUCCCGCGUGUGCGAUGAAGGCCUUCGGGUUGUAAAGCACUUUUGGCAGGAAAGAAACGGCACGGGAUAAUACCCCGUGCAACUGACGGUACCUGCAGAAUAAGCACCGGCUAACUACGUGCCAGCAGCCGCGGUAAUACGUAAGUGCAAGCGUUAAUCGGAAUUACUGGGCGUAAAGCGUGCGCAGGCGGUUCGGAAAGAAAGAUGUGAAAUCCAGAGCUUAACUUUGGAACUGCAUUUUUAACUACCGAGCUAGAGUGUGUCAGAGGAGUGGAAUUCCCGCGUGUAGCAGUGAGAAAUGCGUAGAUAUGCGGAGGAACACCGAUGGCGAAGGCAGCCUCCUGGGAUAACACUGACGCUCAUGCACGAAAGCGUGGGGGAGCAAACAGGAUUAGAUACCCUGGUAGUCCACGCCCUAAACGAUGUCAACUAGCUGUUGGGGCCUUCGGAGCGUAUUAGCGCAGCUAACGCGUGAAGUUGACCGCCUGGGAGUACGGUCGCAAGAUUAAAACUCAAAGGAAUUGACGGGGACCCGCACAAGCGGUGGAUGAUGUGGAUUAAUUCGAUGCAACGCGAAAAGCCUUACCUACCCUUGGCAUAUCUGGAAUCGAAGAGAUUUGGGAGUGCUCGCAAGAGAACCGGAACACAGGUGCUGCAUGGCUGUCGUCAGCUCGUGUCGUGAGAUGUUGGGUUAAGUCCCGCAACAGGCGCAACCCUUGUCAUUAGUUGCUACGAAAGGGCACUCUAAUGAGACUGCCAGUGACAAACCGGAGGAAGGUGGGGAUGACGUCAAGUCCUCAUGGCCCUUAUGGGUAGGGCUUCACCACGUCAUACAAUGGUCGGGACAGAGGGUCGCCAACCCGCGAGGGGGAACCAAUCCCAGAAACCCGAUCGUAGUCCGGAUCGCAGUCUGCAACUCGACUGCGUGAAGUCGGAAUCGCUAGUAAUCGCGGAUCAGCAUGUCGCGGUGAAUACGUUCCGGGUCUUGUACACACCGCCCGUCACACCAUGGGAGUGGGUUUUACCAGAAGUAGUUAGCCUAACCGUAAGGAGGCGAUUACCACGGUAAGUUCGCGGCUAGGGUAGAAGUCGGCAACAAGGUAG
RNAcentral lists this ribosomal RNA (1487 nucleotides) under uncultured Bordetella sp. RNAcentral describes it as "partial 16S-23S ribosomal RNA intergenic spacer". It matches the Rfam family "Bacterial small subunit ribosomal RNA". The record is from RNAcentral. Lineage: Bacteria; Pseudomonadati; Pseudomonadota; Betaproteobacteria; Burkholderiales; Alcaligenaceae.